AUAUAGUUCAAGCUGUGCAUAUUGGUUCUAUGAAACUUACCCCAAAAUUAUCACUAAAUGAUGUUUUAUAUGCUUCUUGUUUUCAAUUCAAUUGGUUAUCUAUCAGUAAAAUCACUAAAACACUCAAUUGUUUUAUCAUGUUUUUUCAUGGGUAUUGUAUUUUUUAGGACCUGCGGAUGAAGAAGGAGAUUAGACAAUAUACAGAGCAUGAUGGUUUUUAUUAUUUGGAGCCUAAAUCUAAACCUUUUGCUUCUAUUCUCGUCCAUCAAAAUGAAGUCAAUUUAUGGUAUUGGCAUUUAAGACAUCCAGCUUCUGGCUUAUCUCAAGUUUUCUAUUUUAGAUUCUACUAUUUUUCUUUUCAAAUAAAUGCAUUUGCAUCGUGUGCCCA
RNAcentral lists this long non-coding RNA (388 nucleotides) under Elaeis guineensis (African oil palm). RNAcentral describes it as "long non-coding RNA (EGUI_LNC046363)". The record is from RNAcentral. Lineage: Eukaryota; Viridiplantae; Streptophyta; Magnoliopsida; Arecales; Arecaceae.